RNAcentral lists this ribosomal RNA (380 nucleotides) under uncultured eukaryote. RNAcentral describes it as "partial 18S ribosomal RNA". It matches the Rfam family "Eukaryotic small subunit ribosomal RNA", at positions 592 to 976 of the family's 1831-position model. The record is from RNAcentral.
CAAUAGCGUAUAUUAAAGUUGUUGCAGUUAAAAAGCUCGUAGUUGGAUUUGUGGCGUACGGUGUGUUCCGGGCACUUGUUGUCUGAGUAACCUGCUGUUGCCAUCCUUGGGUGGAACCUGUGUGGCAUUAGGUUGUCGUGCAGGGGAUGCCCAUCAUUUACUGAGAAAAAAUUAGAGUGUUCAAAGCAGGCUUAUGCCGUUGAAUAUAUUAGCAUGGAAUAAUGAGAUAGGACUUUUUUGCUAUUUUGUUGGUUUGCGCAAAGAGGUAAUGAUUAAUAGGGACAGUUGGGGGUAUUCGUAUUCCAUUGUCAGAGGUGAAAUUCUUGGAUUUUUGGAAGACGAACUACUGCGAAAGCAUUUACCAAGGAUGUUUUCAUUAA